AAAGCGGGAGUUACGGCUGAAACAUGUUAUUGAAGCUUGUCCGCGAGUUGAGCAGCAAGAAGCAAAGAAGAAAAGUAACAUUGAACAAAAUCAUUUUCGAACUUAUAAGAGUGAAAAGUUGCAUGAGGAACAUUUUGCUGAAGAGAGUGCAAAAAAGAAACAAACUGUUAAGAAGAUAACAGGAGAGUCUCAAAGGUGGCAAGAGGAUGACAGAAAACAGAGAUUGCUACAGGGAGAAAAACUGCAACACAGACAGCAAGAUGAACUGCAGCAGCAAUGUAGGCUGGCUGAAGAACAGUGGACAGUUGAACCAGAGAGAAAACAACAGCAUGAUUUACAUUUGGCUGCAGGCAAGGAGUGGGAAAGAAUGGAACAGGAGAGCUUCCUGGCAGAGAGGUAUGUAGCAGUAUUGUCAUAGCUGCUUACAUUAUGUUUCCUCAUUUUCCCAGGAAGUGUUUUAAUGCAAAAUCCUCUCAAACUCUAGAUCAAGCAGCUCAACUGCAUGCUCCAGCUGGGGUCUGAUUAGUGGUCUUGUAUUUUAUGUAUUGGCCAAUGAAAUAUUCUGCCUGCCUUAGUAAAUUGAAGUAUGUUAGUCAGAGAAGCAAGGAAUUGAAGUCAAUGUCGUCUAACUACCUAUUGUUUCUGAGGAGAGAAUCAGAAAUAAUUCUUUGUAAUCCAUGUGGAUUAAGGUAUUUGGACAUUUAAAUAGUUAAAUUGAUGAUAUUCAAGUGACAAGUUUAAUCAGUUGUCGUCUCAGCAGUGAGGGUCAGGUGUUAUGAUGACUGAAAGGUUCCUGCAAUGUAUUUUCACAAGGAAACGACUAUACACAGGUGGGGAGAAUAGUGAGUAAUCUAUCUAUAUC
Leucoraja erinaceus (little skate) is the source of this 862-nucleotide long non-coding RNA. RefSeq lists it as uncharacterized. The record is from RefSeq and is a predicted model, not a curated record. The transcript is spliced from 3 exons. NCBI's taxonomy places the organism in Eukaryota, Metazoa, Chordata, Chondrichthyes, Rajiformes, Rajidae.